UGAACGCUGGCGGCGUGCCUAAUACAUGCAAGUCGCGCGAACAGACGAGGAGCUUGCUCCUCUGACGUUAGCGGCGGACGGGUGAGUAACACGUGGAUAACCUACCUAUAAGACUGGGAUAACUUCGGGAAACCGGAGCUAAUACCGGAUAAUAUAUUGAACCGCAUGGUUCACUAGUGAAAGACGGUUUUGCUGUCACUUAUAGAUGGAUCCGCGCCGCAUUAGCUAGUUGGUAAGGUAACGGCUUACCAAGGCGACGAUGCGUAGCCGACCUGAGAGGGUGAUCGGCCACACUGGAACUGAGACACGGUCCAGACUCCUACGGGAGGCAGCAGUAGGGAAUCUUCCGCAAUGGGCGAAAGCCUGACGGAGCAACGCCGCGUGAGUGAUGAAGGUCUUCGGAUCGUAAAACUCUGUUAUUAGGGAAGAACAAAUGUGUAAGUAACUAUGCACGUCUUGACGGUACCUAAUCAGAAAGCCACGGCUAACUACGUG
Molecule: ribosomal RNA, 495 nt
Filed under: uncultured bacterium
Lineage: Bacteria
Description: partial 16S ribosomal RNA
Rfam family: Bacterial small subunit ribosomal RNA
Source: RNAcentral